RNAcentral lists this ribosomal RNA (1056 nucleotides) under uncultured cyanobacterium. RNAcentral describes it as "bacterial SSU rRNA". It matches the Rfam family "Bacterial small subunit ribosomal RNA", at positions 8 to 1104 of the family's 1533-position model. Lineage: Bacteria; Bacillati; Cyanobacteriota. The record is from RNAcentral.
AGAGUUUGAUCCUGGCUCAGGAUGAACGCUGGCGGUAUGCCUAACACAUGCAAGUCGAACGGAGUCCCUUCGGGGACUUAGUGGCGGACGGGUGAGUAACACGUGAGAACCUACCUUCAGAAUGGGGACAACAGUUGGAAACGACUGCUAAUACCCAAUGUGCCGAAAGGUGAAAGAUUUAUCGUCUGAAGAUGGGCUCGCGUCUGAUUAGCUAGAUGGUGGGGUAAGAGCCUACCAUGGCAACGAUCAGUAGCUGGUCUGAGAGGAUGAGCAGCCACACUGGGAUUGAGACACGGCCCAGACUCCUACGGGAGGCAGCAGUGGGGAAUUUUCCGCAAUGGGCGAAAGCCUGACGGAGCAAUACCGCGUGAGGGAGGAAGGUCUUUGGAUUGUAAACCUCUUUUAUUAGGGAAGAAGUUCUGACGGUACCUAAUGAAUAAGCAUCGGCUAACUCCGUGCCAGCAGCCGCGGUAAUACGGAGGAUGCGAGCGUUAUCCGGAAUUAUUGGGCGUAAAGCGUCCGUAGGUGGCACUUCAAGUCUGCUGUCAAAGACCGAAGCUCAACUUCGGGCAGGCGGUGGAAACUGAAGAGCUAGAGUAUAGUANGGGUAGAGGGAAUUCCUAGUGUAGCGGUGAAAUGCGUAAAGAUUAGGAAGAACACCAGUGGCGAANGCNCUCUACUGGGCAUAUACUGACACUGAGGGACGAAAGCUAGGGUAGCGAAAGGGAUUAGAUACCCCUGUAGUCCUAGCGGUAAACGAUGGNUCCUCCCCCGUAGUGCCGUAAAAGGGACUGUGUCGAAGCUAACGCGUUAAGUAUCCCGCCUGGGGAGUACGCACGCAAGUGUGAAACUCAAAGGAAUUGACGAGGACCCGCACAAGCGGUGGAGUAUGUGGUUUAAUUUCGAUGCAACGCGAAGAACCUUACCAAGGCUUGACAUCCUGCGAAUCUUGGAGAAAUCUGAGAGUGCCUAAGGGAACGCAGAGACAGGUGGUGCAUGGCUGUCGUCAGCUCGUGUCGUGAGAUGUUGGGUUAAGUCCCGCAACGAGCGCAACCC